UCUCCGUUGGUGAACCAGCGGAGGGAUCAUUACCGAGUGCAAACUCAUAACCCUUUGUGAACCUAUAUCUGUUGAUUCGGCGGCUCGCUCUCGGGCGAGCCCGCCGGUAAUAUCAGUAUCUCUGUUUGAACCCGACGAUACUUCUGAGUGUUCUUAGCGAACAGUUAAAACUUUUAACAACGGAUCUCUUGGCUCUA
This 197-nucleotide unclassified non-coding RNA is filed under the name plant metagenome. Its description in RNAcentral is "partial contains small subunit ribosomal RNA, internal transcribed spacer 1, and 5.8S ribosomal RNA". The record is from RNAcentral.